UCAUAUUUUCUUUUUUCAGGUUCAUAAACGCAAGGCGGAGAAUUGUACAACCAAUGAUAGACCAAUCGAACAGAGCAGUUUAUUCUCCGAUUUCAGUAUACACCCACCCUGGACCAUCGGCCGGUUAUCCGGAUGCGAUGAGCUAUAUGAUGGACGGCCAAGCGCAGAUGAUGCAUCGACCACCGGGUGACCCAACCUUCCAUCAAGGAUACCACUAUCCACCUGCGGAGUAUUAUCCUCACCAUUUGUAAUAAACGGCAACUAUUUAAGUGCCUAGUUUAGUUAAUUGUGUAAAGAAAACAAUCUCGCGCACAUCACAUACGAUUGGUUGAGAGGAGAAAUCCUAGAGACGACCGCUUCCCAGUGAACAUACCUACUUACUCUAUUUAAACAAUGAAAAACAAUGUGGCCAUCUAGAGGAACCAAAAAGCAAGGCAACAGGCAUGCAAAGAAUGUUGAACGUUCAAACGUAGUCCAAUAUCAUCAUCUUCAAAGCAACACAAACAAGCAAACAAGUGAGCUGCAUCGACAUUGGAAUCUGGUUGGCGACCAAAUAAAAAGAAUCGCAUCCAUCCCACACACCCACCACCUUCCCCUGACACAUACCGAGCUUCAUUCUACAUACCUAUGGUUGAUUGCAUUGGAUUAGUCCAGUGACUAUUUAUUAUGUGAGCCAUCCCUCUGUAUAAUGCUAUCGAAGCAUUUGUUUUCUUCUCAAAUUAUUUUUUUUUAUUUGUAUAAUUACAAUAUCAACCAAACACUUAUCUUAGUACCCUACUGAAUAUUUAUUUGUUAUGUUUAUGUAAAUAUUUUUUAUAAGUAAAUGCAUAUAAAUAUGUACAUCGUAUAACAUGUCACAAAACGCGUAGAAAAAUUAUUUAUAAAAAAACAGUAAAUGCAUACACAACAAACGGAAAUAUUGUAGGUUGAGCGCUACUUUGUAGGAGAUUUAGGUUUUGAUCUUGAACAAAGCUAACGCAUCCCAUCUUAAACCGAUAACAGUACGAUAUAACAACACGUAGCUCACAGUCGACCAACCGUAUAGUUUAAACUCAUUUUUUCAUUAUUAGUCACAAAUGAAUGGAUAAGUGCGUGUCAAAACAACAACCGAAUUGUUAUAUUCAUUCAAGCUAUUGUAACUUUGUUGAGUGUAAACUAAUCUUGAUAAAAACAAUGGGACUAAUAAAUAAGCCAAUGAUACUAUUGUUUCCAAACUAAUUUCAAAUGAACUAAACCGGUGCGAUGUUAGUCAGACGGUUAAACAAUAUUGUACACAUGACCAUCGAUUUCAAACCAUACUUGACAGUUGAUUCAUACAUAAAAGAUUUGGUGUGUGAAACUUUCCGAUAAAUUUGAAAGAUACUGGACCUGGCUCAUUUAUGUCCGGGCCUUUGCUGUCGAGUGUUCAAUACACAUUUUCUAAUCAGUUUUUUUUUAUUAUUAUUAUAGUCACUUUAACGCUCUUGAGUCAUUCGUGACUUGUCCGAGGGUGAGAUUUUAACUCGUGACUUUGGCGUUAGAGGUAUGAAUGCUAACCACUACGCCGGGGUCGCCCCUUUUUCUAAUCAGUACCAUCUGAUUAGAAUUUUCUAAAUUUUUAGCUCGGUCUUAGGAUUAGGAUUAGUGCAUUUAAAAAAAUGUUUGAGUCUUAAUGACAACGCACAUUGCAUUUAUAAGUGACAAAUUGCAGAAAGCAGUUAGACAAUAGAGUUAGCUAUAAUGUUGUCGCAACGUGUCACUAACGGGUGAAAUGUGCGUAGACCUUAACGACAGUAACGAUACCAAUUUGAAUGUAAAUUAGUAUGGAAAUAGUUAAGCCCUUGAUCAAAAGUACACGUUACAUUAUGCUCAUGCUCCGGAUAUGCUAUUUGAAUAAUUGUAUUUAUGAAUAUUGUUUGCUGAAAACAGCAGGUUGAUGCGAUUUUUCUAACAAUAACAAGAUUAGUUUUGUCCAUCAAGGAGAAACGGAUACUUUGAUGGCCACUAGAUUUAUCCUGGUUACCUUUGCUUUGUGAAUACUAUGUAUGUCAUCUAAAAAUCUCGUGUUAUUGUUCAAGGCACUCUUGAGAAUACGUAGGGUAAAUGUUGGCUUCGGCACCCAUUGACUGUUUUCGGCAACCAAAAUUUAAACGUUAAUUUCACUAUGUUUUCCCAUCAACGCACUUCCCUGAAUGUGUCCAAACGAUUGUUUAGCCUUUCAGCUUCAAUCUGAUUAUAUUUGAACGAUCGAGCAAUCCAGUAAUGCUACAUUUUUCUUCAAAUAAAGCAUACGCACUACAAAAUGGGGUUGAUUUCGAGUUGCCGAUAAUAGAACAGCUGGUUAACACGCAGUUCUAAUGGGAAGGUUGCCGAAGAAAAAGAGGCUGCCGACAAUAGACACACUCACCUGAGAAGUUUGGAGCGUUGUAAAAACGCUUUCAAAACGUUUUGAAAAAUUCUGUCGAUUGGAAUGGAUAGAGAAGCAAGCAGCAGAUGAAUGUAAACAAACAGACACAUCAUAUAUGUGCGUGACGCUGAGAAAAUGCUAGUAGAAAUGCAGACGCUGCUUAGAUUGACGAGAAUACGUAAAUUCCCCUAUGUAAUCUAAUGCGAUUUAACAUAAACUUUGCUUUCUACGGAAUUUCCAUACAUUCCCUUCCGUUCUUCAACAUUCGUUUUAAAGCACUGACACUGUAGAUUUAUUACAUGUUAUAAACCUAUCUUGCUAACAGUUUGCUUUUCGACAAUAAAUAUAACACUGUAGUCUGAACGAGGCAUAAAUCUUCACAAAGUUGGUUGAUUUUGAGACGGUAUCCAGUAGAAUGAUCUAGAAAGGCAGCAGGAAGGGAUUCUGGAAAAUUUUCAAAGGUUAAACAAUAUAACACAUUGGCUUGUAUAUUCGUCCUGAAAACAAAUUGUCACAGAAUAGUUAACAUACAACAGGUAUCGAACGCCUUGAACAACGGCUCUAUUGUUCUUUGAUGCGCGCUGUACUGUGUAUGUGUAAGGGGACCCAGGAAGCCACCAAUAAAUUAUAAUAAAAAGCAUUACCGACUGAAAAAGAUAAAAAAAAUUACUUCUCGUGCAAGUAAAUAAAACAAAUCAUAGUUAUUAUAAGCAGUAAGCCUACUCUGUAAUUGUUUACAAUAGACUUGAGGGAAAAACACAAAAUUCACUAAUUGAUUAGCAUCGUAAGGAUUGCUUUCCAUUUCAAAAAGGACUUGGUCUGACGAUGUAACAGUAUAUUUCACUGUUCAUGCUAAAAGAACAAAUGCUUUACAAAAAAAUUCUAAUGGAACUUGAUAUGUACCUACAGGGUCUUUGGAAAUACAAAAACAAGCAUAGAUACCACGAAUUGGUACUAGAGUUUCGUCGGAAACCAUAUCGUUUGUACGCUAAACAAUACAUCUGGAGCGUACCGUUUGUCAUGAUCCAAUGCAAUCGGUGGUAUUGUUGUAUUAUAAUUAUUUCUAAAACAAAACAAAAGAGUACUAAAAGAAAACAGAACACAAUCACUCAUGCAAUGUUGGAACGUAAACAAAUGAACAUGGUCCAUAAUCGUUAGAAAUUGAAAAGUGUGAUGUUAUUUUCGUUUUAUUUCAGUUGUUGAACGCUUUUUGACAUUUUAUUAUUUUCUUUACUUCCCAAAGCUUCUUAGCCGAAACUACAUUGGUGUUCACAAACUAUCAAAGCAGAAACACAACAGACAAACAAACUUUCACGAAUAUGUGUGUAUAGAAUGUUGAAACAACAAUGUGACAUGCGUUAGCUCUGCACAAUGCAUAUACAUACAGAAACACAUUAUUAGUUAAGAUAUCACUUUUUAAAUUAAUUAGUUUUAAACACCUGUACCAUUGCGCAUAUUAUGAAUUUAUUUAGCAAAGAACCACUUCCUAUAAUUUUAUUGAUUUUUAUUUUUGAAAAAUCAAUCUAAAGUGAUGUACAUUAAGUAGAGAGCAAAAGAAAAUUUCUUUUAGAUUUUUUUAAUUGUACGUGUAAAAUCAGUUAAAUACAAAUAUUGAGCAAAUUUUUGUUUUGCUACCGAGAAAUAAAACAAAAAUUCAAUGAAAUUGCUGUAAGGUCUCGUUAUAUUGAAAAAUUAAAUGUUAAGGGUAAACAUUUACAACAAAAUCACACUCAUGCAAAAAAAAAUAAGAACUGUAAUAAUUAGAACGAUUGAUGAAUUAACGCAAAUUAUAUCAUUAUUUCCAAACGUA
Molecule: long non-coding RNA, 4196 nt
Organism: Ochlerotatus camptorhynchus
Lineage: Eukaryota; Metazoa; Arthropoda; Insecta; Diptera; Culicidae
Exons: 3
Source: RefSeq, a predicted model, not a curated record